Molecule: transfer RNA, 99 nt
Filed under: Escherichia coli
Lineage: Bacteria; Pseudomonadati; Pseudomonadota; Gammaproteobacteria; Enterobacterales; Enterobacteriaceae
Description: tRNA-Asn
Rfam family: tRNA
About the family: Transfer RNA (tRNA) molecules are approximately 80 nucleotides in length. Their secondary structure includes four short double-helical elements and three loops (D, anti-codon, and T loops).
Source: RNAcentral
GAUGGUGUAGCUCAGCGGUUAGAGCGGUUGACUGUUAAUCAACGGGUCGAUGGUUCAAUAAGCAGGAUGUCAGCGGUUCGAGUCCGUUAAUCGGCACCA